Molecule: RNA transcript, 5100 nt
Organism: Egretta garzetta (little egret)
Lineage: Eukaryota; Metazoa; Chordata; Aves; Pelecaniformes; Ardeidae
Gene: VPS45
Gene name: vacuolar protein sorting 45 homolog
Exons: 16
Source: RefSeq, a predicted model, not a curated record
CCGCCCGCAGACCGGCGUGGUGAGCAUGGUGUACACGCAGUCCGAGAUCCUGCAGAAGGAGGUGUACCUCUUCGAGCGCCUCGACUCCGCCAACAGGGAGGCCAUGAAGCACCUCAAGGCCAUCUGCUUCCUGCGGCCCACCAAGGAGAACGUGGAGUUCCUCGUUCAGGAGCUGCGGAGGCCCAAGUACAGCAUCUAUUUUAUUUAUUUCAGUAACGUGAUCAGUAAGAGUGAUGUCAAGUCAUUGGCUGAGGCUGAUGAGCAGGAAGUUGUGGCUGAAGUUCAGGAGUUCUACGGCGAUUACAUUGCAGUGAAUCCACACGUUUUUUCUCUCAACCUCUUGGGCUGCUGCCAGGGUCGCAACUGGGAUCCGGCUCAGCUGUCCAGGACAACUCAAGGGCUGACUGCUCUGCUCUUGUCGCUGAAGAAAUGCCCCAUGAUUCGGUACCAGCUCUCGUCUGAGGCAGCCAAGAGGCUUGCUGAAUGCGUGAAGCAAGUAAUCACUAAAGAGUAUGAGCUGUUUGACUUUCGGCGCACUGAGGUUCCUCCUUUGCUUCUCAUUCUGGACCGGUCUGACGAUGCCAUCACCCCGCUGCAGAACCAGUGGACGUACCAGGCUAUGGUUCACGAAUUGCUGGGCAUUAACAACAACCGCAUCGACCUCUCUCGGGUACCGGGGAUAAGCAAGGAUCUCCGAGAGGUGGUCCUGUCUGCCGAGAACGACGAGUUCUACGCCAACAACAUGUACCUGAACUUCGCGGAGAUUGGCAGUAACAUCAAGAAUCUUAUGGAGGAUUUCCAGAGGAGGAAACCUAAGGAGCACCAGAAGCUGGAAUCCAUAGCAGAUAUGAAGGCAUUUGUGGAGAAUUACCCGCAGUUCAAGAAGAUGUCGGGCACGGUGUCGAAGCACGUGACGGUAGUGGGAGAGCUCUCUCGACUGGUUGGUGAGCGGAACCUGCUGGAGGUGUCUGAAGUGGAGCAGGAGCUGGCCUGCCAGAACGACCAUUCCAGUGCUCUCCAGAAUGUGCGUCGCCUCCUGCAGAACCCCAAGGUGACAGAGUUUGACGCUGCCCGGCUGGUGAUGCUUUAUGCCCUGCACUACGAGCGGCACAGCAGCAAUAGCCUGCCAGGGCUGAUGACAGAUCUCAAGAACCGGGGCGUUUCAGAGAAAUACCGAAAGCUAGUGUCUGCUGUCGUGGAGUAUGGAGGGAAACGGGUCCGGGGCAGUGACCUGUUCAGUCCCAAGGAUGCUGUAGCCAUCACCAAACAGUUCCUCAAAGGCCUGAAGGGUGUUGAGAAUGUGUAUACGCAACACCAGCCUCUCCUUCAAGAAACGCUAGAUCAGCUCAUCAAAGGAAAACUCAAGGACAGCCAGUACCCCUACCUGGGUCCCAACACUCUCCGUGACAGGCCCCAAGACAUUAUCGUGUUCAUCAUCGGAGGGGCAACUUAUGAAGAGGCGCUGACUGUCUAUAACCUCAACCGCACCAACCCGGGGGUCCGAAUCGUCCUCGGUGGGACCACAAUCCACAACACGAAAAGCUUCCUUGAGGAAGUUACAGCUUCGGGGUUCCGUGGCCGAGGCGCUGAGACCUCUCAAGUUACGCCAAGGUCAAGCAGCAGGCGGUGAAUCUUGGAGAAAUCUCUGGCUCGCCCAUCCGGAGCUUCCAUGAACUGACCGUACAGCUUUGGAGCAGACCUGGACGUUCCCACCCCGCGCUGCUGCUGUAGCUUCCCCCAUCCACCUUAAUGAGCACGAGAAGCACCUGGGCAGCGAAUGCUGGAGUUGGCAUCUGCCCUGGUGAACCAGGACAUGCCCCAUGCUGCAGCACCCUCGUUAUCUUCUCACAAACACAGCUCUGAACGGGACAUGGUGGUGGAAUUGGACUUGUCACCGGUGGAGAGCCUGGGAAAAAUGGCACUACAGCCGCACGGAGCCUCUGCAGCUCUGCCGGCCUUUGGGAAGGCUGCGCUCUGAGCCGAUGUGUCAAAACAUGUGGUAUCAGUCCCCUGACGAACAUCUAACGAUCCUGGCCCAGACUUCUUGUGCAUUUCUGGAAGCAGUAAUAAAACAUGUUGGAUUUGAAAAGAAAGAAGAGAAUUGGGGUUGUGGAGCAGAGCUGGGAGCAGAGGAGGGUGGCUGCAUCCUCCUAGGCAUGCGAGCCUGACCAGAACGUGCUCCCUCUGCUUUCCGGACCCGGGCUCUGUGGAAGGUGGAGAGAAGCAAGGUACGGGAACUGUGAAAAGCCGCACAGGUUAAGAGUGAAAACAGACUGGAUGCCUGGAUGUCCGCUACCAAUGAGCAAGUCUUUCCCUUAUCUCUUGCUUUCCCAUAAUUAAGUAAGACCGAACCUCCAGCUCCCUGAGAGCUCUGCAGAGCUCUUGUGGAGGGAAAGUACUUGAAUUCACACUCAUUUCUCUGGCUUAAUUCCCUGAAGCAAGGUCACGCCGAGCCUGGGCACCUGUCCAUCCAAAAAUCGCCCCGCAGUGCUGAAGGAUCGAUGGUACGUGCGGCGUGGAGCUGCUCCAGGGCUCUCGCCUGAAAACAAUGGGGUCAGGCCGUGGGGCAGAGUUCCCACGCCACAUCAUUAGGGAGCGUUUCCUUUCUGACUCGGGAGUGUCAGGCAUUGUUUUGGAAGGGAUGGGUACUGGCAUGGUUUCCAGUCCGUCGCCUUCAUCAUCCCGUCUAGGGAGCCGACACGCUUCGCCCCUCUCCUCCCUGCAGGAUUAACGCCCUGCAGUGCCGCAGUCCUCGUCAGGCAGCGGAGUCCCAAGGUGGGGUCGGCGCUGUUGCUGGCAGCAGGAGAGGCACCUAACGGGACAAGGUGUUGGCUUUAUUUAGCCAGCAGGCUCAAACCUCAGCAGGCAGCUCCGUUUCCUAACAGCCUAUUGGAAAAGGUUGUGCUCCCGGUACUGGAUUAAGGGGUGGAUUAAGAGAUUCCUACAACGUGUGAUGUUGCAUCAACCUUUGCGAAGUGAAACCUGUCUCUUCUGUAUCACUUUUUGCAGCCUCCCUGCUACCCAUUUUUGCUUACUGGCAAAUGCAAGCGCUGAAGGUUUGGACCGAGCCUGACACAAAGUCCUGGGGGCCCGGCCCUGCGCCCCUGCAUAGUCAUUAUUUCCCUUGCACUUCCCAUCGUAAGGCUUGGCGGGUCGCAGGGCACAGUGCAGCUUUGCAAAGGCUCAGACGGAGCAGACAUCACCUAAGGUUGGCUGGCUCCCUUUUGAUCAAUGCUGUGGUAAACAAUCAGAGGUUUUUAAACCAGAGCAGAUAACAAACUGGAGAGAAGGAACACAGUGCUGGGGUUUGGGGUUUGGGUUUGGUUUUCUUUUUCCAGCCGCAUUUGGACCUUGUAUCUCGUGCUGUCUCACCUCAGCCGCCGCCUCCUGCGUGGAAUCCCACUGCUUUCUUGCAGGCAAAGCGAAUCGUUCCUCAGAAAUGAGGCAGAACUGGGAUCUCCAGGCAAAAUCCCUGGCUUGCUGUUUCUGCUGGGCCACCAGCAACGAGGCCUCCAGGGCCAGGGCACCCGCUCUCAGGGCAUCAGGGAGUGAAAUUCCUCAGCAGAGCAGGAGCCCUCGCGUGAGUACCACGGCCCUGAGCCAAGCUCUGCCAAUGCUCCUGAGAGCCCUCCACUCUCCCCAGCGAGCGCAGUUGCGACCGUGGCUCCUGUGGAGGCACAAGAGGGGGGGUGAGAGAAAGAUGCCGGACCCAGAGCAUCCUUUUUGGGCAGAGCAGGCCCGAUGGGCAUCCCUGCUGCUCACUAGCGAUGGUCAGGAACAGCUCCCAGGCUGGUGUCUCAGAGGCCGAGUCCUGCUGGGGAGAUGGGCAUCCCCCACGCCCCAGGCACUCCCCGGGUAUUUUCUGGGCCACAAAGAGCUUCGGGUCCCGGGUGUAACACGGGGUCGCCACUGCUGAGCCUGCAGCAACCCGCGUCCUGCUCCCAGGCACCUGUAAGGCUUUUGCUCACGAACUUCUGCGCUGGUAUAAAACAAGAGCACUUUAGCAACCAACAGGGAAUCGGGGCUUCUGGAUCAAGCAAAGCUCCAAACCCACCCUGGGCCACAGGAGACAAGCCAGAGAACUUUACUCAGUAGUUUCUACAUCUCAUUUAUAACUCUGCUUAAGCUAAAGUGCAUGUUAAACACGGACCCCAUCUUUGUUUAAAAACACACAUCCCCAGACUGCCUAUCCUCCCGGGAUUUCUUUUUUGGCUUUCUUUUUAAGUACACGCUGUAGCUAAAAUUGGACUUGCUUCAAUUUUCAGCCUCUGUCUUUUCUUUCAGAGCUUUCUGCCAUGCCAGUGGAUGCACAGAUUAUACUCAAGAUAAUUUUAGCCCAUAGUAUAUGUGGGGUUAUUAAUUUGCCUUCUGGAGGCCAUGUAUCUCGCUGGAUGGGGAGGGGGGAAGAGAAGCAGCUCCCAGGGGUCUUCCUCUGACGUCUUAGGAGGGUUCUGUUUUCCCGUCUGGAAGGAAAGGCGUGUGACGACUCUGGUUUAGGGCAUCACGAGUAAAAGUCCCCCCACACUGCAGAAUCAGUUUCCCAGGGCAUUUUCUCAUGGAAAAAUCACUGAGCUGAAAAGGAAACAGCAGGGCCCUUGGUAGGAGGUGGGAAGACUCUCGGCGAGGCCGGUUCCUUUAUCACUCUGCUGAGCCACGGCUUUUUGUGGCUCGGCUUGUAUUGUUCCUGCACUCACAGAGGCAAAAUGGGAGAGUCUCAGUCAUUCAAACCCUUGCUCCUGCCCUUGGCACGGGUGACUAAUACUGCUGCAGAUGGAGAUUUAUUGGGCAAUUGCUAGGCUCCUUGCAAGAUGGGAAGAGCCUUGUAAUUUCUUCUUUUGGCCACAGCUUCAAUCUGUUCACGGAGCAGGAAUAACAAGAGAAUACAGAUGGAAUGAUGUCUCUCGCUGUUUUCCGCGCCCAAGUGCUGGAAUACAAAGCGCAAGUCGCUGUUGGGUGGAGGAUGUGAUGGUAAUGGCUUCCAGCGAAAGGGAGGUGAUUCCUCGGCGUGCUGCUGAAACGGGAUGAGGCUGGAGCGGAGGGAAGUUUUUGCACCAAAGCUGCUUCUUCAGAGCGAAAUGCCAGUGCGGUGGCAUUGCAACA